UAGAUGCGAGAGUAGAGCAUAUCAAUAAGCGGAGGAAAAGAAACUAACAAGGAUUCCCUUAGUAACGGCGAGUGAAGCGGGAAGAGCUCAAAUUUGAAAUCUUCAAGGUUCUACCUUGACGAAUUGUAGUUUAUAGAAGUGUUUUCUGUUAGUGGAGUGGCAAAAGUUCUUUGGAAUAGGACAUCAUAGAGGGUGAGGAUCCCGUAUUUGGUCAUUCCUCCUAGCGUUGUGAUACACUUUCAACGAGUCGGAUUGUUUGGGAAUGCAGUCCAAAAUGGGUGGUAAAUUUCAUCUAAAGCUAAAUAUUGGCGAGAGACCGAUAGCGAACAAGUACCGUGAGGGAAAGAUGAAAAGAACUUUGAAAAGAGAGUUAAACAGUACGUGAAAUUGUCAAAAGGGAAGCGUUUGACACCAGUGUUGUUUUUCCGAAAAUCAAUUACGAAUGUUUUAUUUUUGAGGAGUUAUGACUUCAUCGGCUUGCUCCUUUCUUUAUGAAACUUUCUUAAUGCACUUUUCGGUUAACAAGUCAACAUCAAUUUCUUUUGUUGUAAAAGGGUAUGAGGAAGGUGGCUUUCUUUUCGGAGAAAGUGUUUAUAGCCUUGUAGCCUCUGCAAUCGGAGAGAUUGAGGUCUGCAGCGUAGAUCCUUCGGGGUUAGAUACAUUUGUGCUAAGUUAUAGCUUUUCAUAGACAACUUGUUGACUAUGUUAGUCUUGUAGCUUACUCGCUUAUGCUAUUUUACCUACGCUUAGGAUGUUGACACACGCGCGUGCUCG
This 774-nucleotide ribosomal RNA is filed under the name uncultured Neocallimastigales. Its description in RNAcentral is "partial large subunit ribosomal RNA". It matches the Rfam family "Eukaryotic large subunit ribosomal RNA", at positions 22 to 643 of the family's 3401-position model. Lineage: Eukaryota; Fungi; Neocallimastigomycota; Neocallimastigomycetes; Neocallimastigales. The record is from RNAcentral.